AAUAAGCUCGGCCAUGAAAUUCCAUGUCUAACUUUAAACAUCCGUCUUAUUUAAAAUAUUUUUUAUUAGUAUUUCUAUUUUUAUUAUAUUAUGAAACAUGAAUAUUACUUUAUAUGUGAACUUAUGUUUUUUAGUUUUUUUUAAAAAAAAUAAAUAAGACGGACGAUUAAAAUUGGAUAUGGAAACUUAUAGCUGCCUUUAUU
This is a non-coding RNA of Oryza barthii, 203 nucleotides long. NCBI's taxonomy places the organism in Eukaryota, Viridiplantae, Streptophyta, Magnoliopsida, Poales, Poaceae. The record is from Rfam.